This 177-nucleotide ribosomal RNA is filed under the name Triticum aestivum (bread wheat). Its description in RNAcentral is "partial small subunit ribosomal RNA". The record is from RNAcentral. Lineage: Eukaryota; Viridiplantae; Streptophyta; Magnoliopsida; Poales; Poaceae.
AUGACAAAAUCAAACCCGAAUGAACAAAAUGUUGAAUUCAAUCAUACCAGUCUAUACCAGGGUUUAUUACUCAUUUUUGUACUUGUGUUUUGUUUUCCAAUUACUUCUUCAAUUGUGAGAAAGAAAGAGACUAAUAAGAAUUCUAUUGUCCCAUUUGGAAGGAUACAUUGUCUCUAG